AACUCUGGAACUGCCAUCAAAACUUUUCAGCUAGAGUAUGAUAGAGGAAAGCAGAAUUUCUAGUGUAGAGGUGAAAUUCGUAGAUAUUAGAAAGAAUACCAAUUGCGAAGGCAGCUUUCUGGAUCAUUACUGACACUGAGGAACGAAAGCAUGGGUAGCGAAGAGGAUUAGAUACCCUCGUAGUCCAUGCCGUAAACGAUGUGUGUUAGACGUUGGAAAUUUAUUUUCAGUGUCGCAGCGAAAGCGAUAAACACACCGCCUGGGGAGUACGACCGCAAGGUUAAAACUCAAAUGAAUUGACGGGGACCCGCACAAGUAGUGGAGCAUGUGGUUUAAUUCGAAGAUACGCGCAGAACCUUACCAACACUUGACAUGUUCGUCGCGACUCUAAGAGAUUAGAGUUUUCGGUUCGGCCGGACGAAACACAGGUGCUGCAUGGCUGUCGUCAGCUCGUGUCGUGAGAUGUUGGGUUAAGUCCCGCAACGAGCGCAACCCUCACUUUUAGUUGCCAUCAUUUAGUUGGGCACUCUGAAAGAACUGCCAGUGAUAAGCUGGAGGAAGGUGGGGAUGACGUCAAGUCCUCAUGGCCCUUACGUGUUGGGCUACACACGUGCUACAAUGGCAUCUACAACAGGAAGCAAAACGGCAACGUUAAGCAAAUCCCGAAAAGAUGCCUCAGUUCGGAUUGCACUCUGCAACUCGAGUGCAUGAAGCUGGAAUUACUAGUAAUCGUGGAUCAGCGUGCCACGGUGAAUGCGUUCCCGGGUCUUGUACACACCGCCCGUCACACCAUGGGAGUUGGUUCUACCUUAAGGCAAGGUUUUAAACCCUUGACCACGGUAUAGUCAGCGACUGGGGUGAAGUCGUAACAAGGUAACC
This 879-nucleotide ribosomal RNA is filed under the name uncultured bacterium. RNAcentral describes it as "bacterial SSU rRNA". It matches the Rfam family "Bacterial small subunit ribosomal RNA", at positions 611 to 1501 of the family's 1533-position model. The record is from RNAcentral.